CAGCAGCCGCGGUAAAACAGAGGGUGCGAGCGUUAAUCGGAUUUACUGGGCGUAAAGCGUGCGUAGGCGGCUUCUUAAGUCGGAUGUGAAAUCCCUGAGCUUAACUUAGGAAUUGCAUUCGAUACUGGGAAGCUAGAGUAUGGGAGAGGAUGGUAGAAUUCCAGGUGUAGCGGUGAAAUGCGUAGAGAUCUGGAGGAAUACCGAUGGCGAAGGCAGCCAUCUGGCCUAAUACUGACGCUGAGGUACGAAAGCAUGGGGAGCAAACAGGAUUAGAUACCCCAGUAGUCCCUGUCUCUUAUAC
This 301-nucleotide ribosomal RNA is filed under the name uncultured bacterium. RNAcentral describes it as "partial 16S ribosomal RNA". It matches the Rfam family "Bacterial small subunit ribosomal RNA", at positions 509 to 807 of the family's 1533-position model. The record is from RNAcentral.